CGCAGGAGCGACGGGGCGGGGCGUCGCGAGGGGUGGGUUGGGAUGUACCCCCCCACUCCGCCCCGCCUCACCCCGCGAGGCCGCCGGGCGGGGUGCGCGGGUCAAACAGAAAUGCUGUUCACCUCCCACCAUGAUUCUGAGGCCUCCCCAGCCAUGUGGAACUAUAAGUCCAAUUAAACCUCUUCUUCCCAGUCUCAGGGAUACACAUUCUCUCUUCUCACCACAUGGCUGCUGCUGGAGAAUGAAGGAGGGGUGGUUUCAGCAAUUCAAGACUGUCCUUCCUACCCUCUUCAGUGCCCGACCUUGAUAAGUUGUUUAAACCAGCUGACAGCCUAACUGAAGUCCCCGCCACAGCCAGCAUCAACUGCAAAGACACCUCCAGAUGACCACAACCCUAGCCAUCAAGUCAUUCCCAGUCUUCAAGCCUUCCCAGCUGAGGCCCAGAUAUCAGAGAAGAUGAGAAAAAGAUGAAACUUGACACUUUGGCUCUGGAUACCAAUUUUGGAAGUCACGACAUAGACAAUCUCUUGGGAAUUUGACAUGUUUUCCAGCUCCUACUCCCAUCAAUGAAUAUCUAACUUGAAUUCACUCAACAAGCAUAUUCUAAGGGUUUCCAGUGAACCAGGUAUUGCACUAGGCAGUAAGGAAAUCAAGAAAGAAUUCUACCAAACCUGCCCUCCACAAUUGGCCCCUUGAGUCAAGUCAAGCUUCCUACUAUAUUAGAUUUUACAGUAAUAGAGCCCUUAUAUUCUCAGCUCUUCCAGAGUGAAAUUAUUCAAGUCACAGUAUUUUCUGAAUGGCCAAUGCAUCCCUCCUCAACCACAGCUGACUGGAUCAGGGACUACUCAAGGAUGCCUAAUCCUCAGAUUGUCCAGGCAUCUGUAACAUGGUCUCCCAUGACAAGUUGAGCCAUACCAGUCAGAUUUUCUUUCUCAGGAAUAGAAACUGGAAAAUACUAGAUGAGGUGGUUAGAGGAAAAAGUGAAAUUAGAAGCCUGUAAGAGAAAAACCACAAGAUAGGAAGAAUUAAGACCUUGAGAGGGCAGGCAUCAUUAGGCCUGUGAGACUAUGAAGAAGCUGAAACACAGGACCUAGGUUGAAUGAAUCAAAGGAUGAAUAAAUAAACAAAUAAUUG
Callithrix jacchus (white-tufted-ear marmoset) is the source of this 1134-nucleotide long non-coding RNA. RefSeq lists it as uncharacterized. Lineage: Eukaryota; Metazoa; Chordata; Mammalia; Primates; Cebidae. The record is from RefSeq and is a predicted model, not a curated record.